UGGGGAAUAUUGGACAAUGGGCGAAAGCCUGAUCCAGCCAUGCCGCGUGUGUGAAGAAGGUCUUCGGAUUGUAAAGCACUUUAAGUUGGGAGGAAGGGCAUUAACCUAAUACGUUAGUGUUUUGACGUUACCGACAGAAUAAGCACCGGCUAACUCUGUGCCAGCAGCCGCGGUAAUACAGAGGGUGCAAGAGUUAAUAGGAAUUACUGGGCGUAAAGCGCGCGUAGGUGGUUUGUUAAGUUGGAUGUGAAAUCCCCGGGCUCAACCUGGGAACUGCAUUCAAAACUGACUGACUAGAGUAUGGUAGAGGGUGGUGGAAUUUCCUGUGUAGCGGUGAAAUGCGUAGAUAUAGGAAGGAACACCAGUGGCGAAGGCGACCACCUGGACUAAUACUGACACUGAGGUGCGAAAGCGUGGGGAGCAAACA
This 427-nucleotide ribosomal RNA is filed under the name uncultured bacterium. Its description in RNAcentral is "partial 16S ribosomal RNA". It matches the Rfam family "Bacterial small subunit ribosomal RNA", at positions 355 to 774 of the family's 1533-position model. The record is from RNAcentral.